AUUGAACGCUGGCGGCAGGCCUAACACAUGCAAGUCGAGCGGAUGAGGGUAGCUUGCUACCUGAUUCAGCGGCGGACGGGUGAGUAAUGCCUAGGAAUCUGCCCGAUAGUGGGGGACAACGUUUCGAAAGGAACGCUAAUACCGCAUACGUCCUACGGGAGAAAGUGGGGGAUCUUCGGACCUCACGCUGUCGGAUGAGCCUAGGUCGGAUUAGCUAGUUGGUGAGGUAAUGGCUCACCAAGGCUACGAUCCGUAACUGGUCUGAGAGGAUGAUCAGUCACAGUGGAACUGAGACACGGUCCAGACUCCUACGGGAGGCAGCAGUGGGGAAGAUUGGACAACGGGCGAAAGCCUGAUCCAGCCAUGCCGCGUGUGUGAAGAAGGUCUUCGGAUUGUAAAGCACUUUAAGUUGGGAGGAAGGGCUGUAGGCUAAUAUCCUGCAGUUUUGACGUUACCAACAGAAUAAGCACCGGCUAACUUCGUGCCAGCCGCCGCAGUAA
RNAcentral lists this ribosomal RNA (500 nucleotides) under uncultured bacterium. Its description in RNAcentral is "partial 16S ribosomal RNA". It matches the Rfam family "Bacterial small subunit ribosomal RNA", at positions 30 to 523 of the family's 1533-position model. The record is from RNAcentral.